GCUUACGGCCAUACCAGCCUGGGUACGCCCGAUCUCGUCUGAUCUCGGAAGCUAAGCAGGGUCGGGCCUGGUUAGUACUUGAUGGGAGACGCUGGGAAACCAGGUGCUGUAAGCA
RNAcentral lists this ribosomal RNA (115 nucleotides) under Salmo salar (Atlantic salmon). Lineage: Eukaryota; Metazoa; Chordata; Actinopteri; Salmoniformes; Salmonidae. The record is from RNAcentral.